RNAcentral lists this ribosomal RNA (253 nucleotides) under uncultured bacterium. RNAcentral describes it as "partial 16S ribosomal RNA". It matches the Rfam family "Bacterial small subunit ribosomal RNA", at positions 524 to 776 of the family's 1533-position model. The record is from RNAcentral.
UACGUAGGCAGCAAGCGUUGUUCGGAGUUACUGGGCGUAAAGAGUGUGUAGGCGGUUUUCUAAGUUCGGUGUGAAAUCUCCCGGCUCAACUGGGAGGGUGCAUCGAAAACUGGGAGGCUUGAGUGUGGGAGAGGAAAGCGGAAUUCCUGGUGUAGCGGUGAAAUGCGUAGAUAUCAGGAGGAACACCUGCUGUGUAGACGGCUUUCUGGACCAUGACUGACGCUGAGACACGAAAGCGUGGGUAGCAAACAGG